AAAAAUAUUGAAAAAAGCCUUCGCCAGCUCAUCACCACCAUCAUCAUCUCCUCCUUUAAAAAGAAAGCUAGGGACUACUUCAUCGCCUUCUUUCGUUUUGCCUUUAAUCUAUAGCCUUUUUGUUUUUGCGGUUUCUCUCGAUCAGCUAAGUUUCGAUCCAUUCUUGUUCUAGCUUUUCAAUAGCUUCUCCUCCUUCGCUUUCUUCGUUUCUGUUCUCAGAUCUAUUCUCU
Molecule: long non-coding RNA, 230 nt
Filed under: Brassica napus (rape)
Lineage: Eukaryota; Viridiplantae; Streptophyta; Magnoliopsida; Brassicales; Brassicaceae
Description: long non-coding RNA (BNAP_LNC025817)
Source: RNAcentral